CUUUACAAUGCUGGCAACAGCGAUAAGGGAACCUCGAGUGCCAGGUUACAAAUCUGGCUGUCGAGAUGCCUAAAAAGCAUUUCAUAGCAAGGGCCGGGCAAGACCGGUGCCAGCCGCCGCGGUAACACCGGCGGCUCGAGUGGUAACCGUUAUUAUUGGGUCUAAAGGGUCUGUAGCCGGCCGGAUAAGUCUCUUGAGAAAUCUGGCAGCUUAACUGUCAGGCUUUCAGGAGAUACUGUCUGGCUCGAGGCCGGGAGAGGUGAGAGGUACUUCAGGGGUAGGGGUGAAAUCUUGUAAUCCUUGAAGGACCACCAGUGGCGAAGGCGUCUCACCAGAACGGACCUGACGGCAAGGGACGAAAGCUAGGGGCACGAACCGGAUUAGAUACCCGGGUAGUCCUAGCCGUAAACGAUACUCGCUAGGUGUCGGCCACGGUGCGACCGUUGUCGGUGCCGUAGGGAAGCCGUGAAGCGA
RNAcentral lists this ribosomal RNA (474 nucleotides) under uncultured archaeon. Its description in RNAcentral is "bacterial SSU rRNA". It matches the Rfam family "Archaeal small subunit ribosomal RNA", at positions 348 to 822 of the family's 1478-position model. The record is from RNAcentral.